GUGGGGAAUAUUGGACAAUGGGCGAAAGCCUGAUCCAGCCAUGCCGCGUGUGUGAAGAAGGUCUUCGGAUUGUAAAGCACUUUAAGUUGGGAGGAAGGGCAGUAAGUUAAUACCUUGCUGUUUUGACGUUACCGACAGAAUAAGCACCGGCUAACUUCGUGCCAGCAGCCGCGGUAAUACGAAGGGUGCAAGCGUUAAUCGGAAUUACUGGGCGUAAAGCGCGCGUAGGUGGUUUUGUAAGUUGGAGGUGAAAUCCCCGGGCUCAACCUGGGAACUGCCUCCAAAACUGCAUGACUAGGGUACGGUAGAGGGUAGUGGAAUUUCCUGUGUAGCGGUGAAAUGCGUAGAUAUAGGAAGGAACACCAGUGGCGAAGGCGACUACCUGGACUGAUACUGACACUGAGGUGCGAAAGCGUGGGGAGCAAACAGGAUUAGAUACCCGUGUAGUCC
RNAcentral lists this ribosomal RNA (450 nucleotides) under uncultured bacterium. RNAcentral's name for it is "partial 16S ribosomal RNA". It matches the Rfam family "Bacterial small subunit ribosomal RNA", at positions 354 to 796 of the family's 1533-position model. The record is from RNAcentral.